UCCGGCGUGGUCUAGUGGCUAGGAUAUUUGGCUUUCACCCAGAAGGCCCGGGUUCGAUUCCCUGUGUCGGAA
RNAcentral lists this transfer RNA (72 nucleotides) under Rhipicephalus microplus (southern cattle tick). RNAcentral's name for it is "tRNA-Glu". It matches the Rfam family "tRNA". From Rfam's summary of the family: Transfer RNA (tRNA) molecules are approximately 80 nucleotides in length. Their secondary structure includes four short double-helical elements and three loops (D, anti-codon, and T loops). The record is from Rfam by way of RNAcentral. Lineage: Eukaryota; Metazoa; Arthropoda; Arachnida; Ixodida; Ixodidae.